UCAUAACUGCCACCGGGCAGAUAAAUGCGAAAAAGCAUUUGAAGCACAUCGUUAGGUCUUUGAAGAUGUGCUCAGAUGCUUUAUUUUUU
This 89-nucleotide non-coding RNA is filed under the name unclassified sequences. The record is from RNAcentral.